Long non-coding RNA from Betta splendens (Siamese fighting fish), 561 nucleotides. RefSeq lists it as uncharacterized. The transcript has 3 exons. Lineage: Eukaryota; Metazoa; Chordata; Actinopteri; Anabantiformes; Osphronemidae. The record is from RefSeq and is a predicted model, not a curated record.
UGUAGACUCCUGGCAAUCAGUCCAACUCACCACAUCUGUGCUUUCCCUCUGCCUCCUUUUAAAGACUCCUGCAGCCCAGCACUCGGUGCUAGAGCAUUGUCACCUCAUCUCUCCAUGCUGCUGAUCUCAGGUGUUUCCUGCGGAAGCUUGACCAAGACUUAAUCCGAGCAGAGAGAGUUUCGGAGAGAAACAGGAUCAGAAGCAGGCAGGUCAGAGAUGGUUGGCUUUCUUCUGUGCCCUUCUAUGCUUUUAUUUUGGUUCUUUGUUGAUAAACAGUAUGACUUAAUACUAACAAAGUUUGUGAUACAGUACGUAUGAAGGCAUGCGCAGUCUGUGAAAUGUAAAAGAAUAAUAAAAGAAAUCAAAGCAGGUGGCUGUGGUAAAGUUUAUUUAUCUUGUAUCUGUGGACAUUUUCAUUUAUUUCAUCUUUCUGAUGUUUGAUCACAUAUGCGGACAUCACUGCUCAACUACAGCAUUUAUAAUAUAAAAAAAGCAUUAUCAAACAGCUCUGUUAUAUGUAGCUGUUGUGAAAAAAAGCACUGGGCUUCUGGUCAUUCAAUA